This 310-nucleotide ribosomal RNA is filed under the name marine bacterium pex_38. Its description in RNAcentral is "bacterial SSU rRNA". It matches the Rfam family "Bacterial small subunit ribosomal RNA", at positions 76 to 389 of the family's 1533-position model. The record is from RNAcentral.
GCUUGCUAUCUGCUGACGAGCGGCGGACGGGUGAGUAAUGCUUGGGAAUAUGCCUUUUGGUGGGGGACAACAGUUGGAAACGACUGCUAAUACCGCAUAACGUCUACGGACCAAAGUGGGGGACCUUCGGGCCUCACGCCAAGAGAUUAGCCCAAGUGGGAUUAGCUAGUUGGUGAGGUAAUGGCUCACCAAGGCGACGAUCCCUAGCUGGUUUGAGAGGAUGAUCAGCCACACUGGAACUGAGACACGGUCCAGACUCCUACGGGAGGCAGCAGUGGGGAAUAUUGCACAAUGGGCGCAAGCCUGAUGC